AACAAUGGGCAACAGGUUCAGGAUGGCUUACUCCACUCGGACGCGGGGGGAAAAUAACAAGUGCAAUGGAUAGGAACAACGCUCAGGGCCACCUUGCUCCGCUCGGGGACAAGAACGCCCCGUGGAUUAUCACGAGGAGGAGGACUUUAUGGCAGCUGGAAGAAGCUGUAAGUAGUAGCCUCAUGCUGAUGGCAAGGGUUCCGGCAGUGCUGCCACUGGGGCUGGGCACAAUGUGGCCUCCCAUGCUGCAACCGUGGGGUGGUGGCAACGGCUACACCAUCUCCGGUGAUCUACUCAGAAUUUCUUGCUGCUGCUCGUCCUGAAUAUGGAGCGUGUCUUGUAGCUGAAUAAUGGCCAACAGGUUCAGGACGACUUCCUCCACCGGACGCGGGGGAAAAGAACGAGUGCAAUGGAUAGGAUUAUCACGACGAGGAGGACUAUAUGGCAGCUGCAAGAAGCUCUAGUACCUGCCCACAGCAGCCUCAUGCUCAUGGCAAGGGCUCCGGCUGUGCUGCUGCUGCUGCUGGGCACACUGUGCCCCCCCAUGCCGCAACCAAUGUGUGCUGGCAACAUCUCCGGUAUCUACUCAGAAUUUCUUGCUGCCGCUCGUCCUGAAUAUGGAGAUUGCCUUAUAGCUGAAUAAUGGGCAACAGGUUCAGGAUGACUUCCUCCACUCGGCCGCGGGGGAAAAGAAUAAGUGCAAUGGAUAGGAUUAUCACGACGAGGAGGACUAUAUGGUAGCUGGAAGAAGCUGUAGUAGCUGCCCGCAGCAGCCUCAUGCUCAUGGCAAGGGCUCCAGCGGUGCUGCUGCUGGGCACACCCUCGCCUCCCACGCCGCAACCGUGGGGUGCUGGCAAAUGGCUACACCAUCUCCGGUGAUCUGCUCAAGUUCCCUUCUACCUCU
Lolium rigidum is the source of this 904-nucleotide long non-coding RNA. RefSeq lists it as uncharacterized. The record is from RefSeq and is a predicted model, not a curated record. Lineage: Eukaryota; Viridiplantae; Streptophyta; Magnoliopsida; Poales; Poaceae. The transcript is spliced from 7 exons.